Molecule: ribosomal RNA, 367 nt
Filed under: Decapterus macarellus (mackerel scad)
Lineage: Eukaryota; Metazoa; Chordata; Actinopteri; Carangiformes; Carangidae
Description: partial 12S ribosomal RNA
Rfam family: Bacterial small subunit ribosomal RNA
Source: RNAcentral
CCCUCCCAUAGCCUUUUCCGCCUAUAUACCGCCGUCGUCAGCUUACCCUGUGAAGGACUAAUAGUAAGCGCAAUUGGUAGAGCCCAAAACGUCAGGCCGAGGUGUAGUGCAUGAGAGGGGAAGAAAUGGGCUACAUUCGCUGCCCAUCAGCGAAUAACGAAUGAUGCAUUGAAACAUGCAGCUGAAGGAGGAUUUAGCAGUAAGCGGAAAAUAGAGUGUUCCGCUGAAACCGGCUCUUAAGCGCGCACACACCGCCCGUCACCCUCCCCAAGCUCCUGGCCCCCAACAGUACUUUAAGCCCCAACAAAUGCGAAGGAGAGGAAAGUCGUAACAUGGUAAGCGUACCGGAAGGUGCGCUUGGUAAAAU